AGAGUUUGAUCAUGGCUCAGAUUGAACGCUGGCGGCAUGCCUUACACAUGCAAGUCGAACGGUAACAGGUCUUCGGAUGCUGACGAGUGGCGAACGGGUGAGUAAUACAUCGGAACGUGCCCGAUCGUGGGGGAUAACGAAGCGAAAGCUUUGCUAAUACCGCAUAAGAUCUACGGAUGAAAGCAGGGGACCGCAAGGCCUUGCGCGAACGGAGCGGCCGAUGGCAGAUUAGGUAGUUGGUGGGAUAAAAGCUUACCAAGCCGACGAUCUGUAGCUGGUCUGAGAGGACGACCAGCCACACUGGGACUGAGACACGGCCCAGACUCCUACGGGAGGCAGCAGUGGGGAAUUUUGGACAAUGGGCGAAAGCCUGAUCCAGCCAUGCCGCGUGCAGGAUGAAGGCCUUCGGGUUGUAAACUGCUUUUGUACGGAACGAAAAGACUCUGGUUAAUACCUGGGGUCCAUGACGGUACCGUAAGAAUAAGCACCGGCUAACUACGUGCCAGCAGCCGCGGUAAUACGUAGGGUGCAAGCGUUAAUCGGAAUUACUGGGCGUAAAGCGUGCGCAGGCGGUUAUAUAAGACAGAUGUGAAAUCCCCGGGCUCAACCUGGGAACUGCAUUUGUGACUGUAUAGCUAGAGUACGGCAGAGGGGGAUGGAAUUCCGCGUGUAGCAGUGAAAUGCGUAGAUAUGCGGAGGAACACCGAUGGCGAAGGCAAUCCCCUGGGCCUGUACUGACGCUCAUGCACGAAAGCGUGGGGAGCAAACAGGAUUAGAUACCCUGUAGUCCACGCCCUAAACGAUGUCAACUGGUUGUUGGGUCUUCACUGACUCAGUAACGAAGCUAACGCGUGAAGUUGACCGCCUGGGGAGUACGGCCGCAAGGUUGAAACUCAAAUGAAUUGACGG
RNAcentral lists this ribosomal RNA (909 nucleotides) under uncultured bacterium. RNAcentral's name for it is "bacterial SSU rRNA". It matches the Rfam family "Bacterial small subunit ribosomal RNA", at positions 8 to 916 of the family's 1533-position model. The record is from RNAcentral.